Molecule: ribosomal RNA, 484 nt
Filed under: uncultured bacterium
Lineage: Bacteria
Description: partial 16S ribosomal RNA
Rfam family: Bacterial small subunit ribosomal RNA
Source: RNAcentral
AUUGAACGCUGGCGGCAGGCCUAACACAUGCAAGUCGAGCGGAUGAAGGGAGCUUGCUCCUGGAUUCAGCGGCGGACGGGUGAGUAAUGCCUAGGAAUCUGCCUGGUAGUGGGGGAUAACGUCCGGAAACGGGCGCUAAUACCGCAUACGUCCUGAGGGGGAAGGUGGGGGUCUUUCGGACCUCACGCAUUCAGAUGAGCCUAGGUCGGAUUAGCUAGUUGGUGGGGUAAAGGCCUACCAAGGCGACGAUCCGUAACUGGUCUGAGAGGAUGAUCAGUCACACUGGAACUGAGACACGGUCCAGACUCCUACGGGAGGCAGCAGUGGGGAAUAUUGGACAAUGGGCGAAAGCCUGAUCCAGCCAUGCCGCGUGUGUGAAGAAGGUCUUCGGAUUGUAAAGCACUUUAAGUUGGGAGGAAGGGCAGUAAGUUAAUACCUUGCUGUUUUGACGUUACCAACAGAAUAAGCACCGGCUAACUUCGUG